CAACUGCACCACUCUUCCUCUGCACAGGUUUUGUUAAAUCCCCCCCAAUGUGACCGUCUGUGAGCCCUAAGGGUUUCAUCUGAAUGAAUGAGAAAGAUUCCAGCGCUGGCAAUAGGUAAAAUGAUCUGCGGGAAGAGUGAACUCACUUUGCUAAAUGUACAUGGUCUGCAAUCAAUGGGUUGAACAGACAUGAGAAAAGCAUGGCUCAGCAAAAAGAUAGCAGAGUUAUUAGAGGAAAAGGCUGGACUUACGAUUUAAUGGAGUAAAAUAACCUGCAAUAUAAAUCUGCAAGCUGAUAGAAGUAGAGAAAUGAUAAAUCAACCGAAAAGUCCAUAAAAAACCUGAUUAAUUGGAAGAGCUAACAGCUGAGCUCUCCGCAGUGCUACUGUCUUAAUUCUCCAUCUGGAGGUGGAAACAACCUCCCCAACAACUUUAUUUUUCACAUAAGGAACAAAUCAUUUUUUUCUUUGUAUUCUGGGGACCAGUGAAUCUUACUGUUCCGUUCACUGUCCGUAUCCAUAGUAAAUCUAGCGGCUUCUGUAUAGCUGACGUGAGCGCUCACCUGC
Molecule: long non-coding RNA, 566 nt
Organism: Hyla sarda
Lineage: Eukaryota; Metazoa; Chordata; Amphibia; Anura; Hylidae
Exons: 3
Source: RefSeq, a predicted model, not a curated record